This is a non-coding RNA of Thamnophis sirtalis, 164 nucleotides long. NCBI's taxonomy places the organism in Eukaryota, Metazoa, Chordata, Lepidosauria, Squamata, Natricidae. The record is from RefSeq and is a predicted model, not a curated record.
UUCUUUGUGAUCAUGGGACCAAGAGAAUGAGUUUCCACAGGUGAAAUUGGAGGUCUGCCUACCUAUUUUACCUCCUUCCUUGUGUUUCCUUCCAUCAAAACAUCUACAAAGAAAAAUGGAAUAAGGUCCGACCCAUCGCAACCCCACGGACAACAUUCCUCCAG